Molecule: unclassified non-coding RNA, 232 nt
Filed under: fungal sp.
Lineage: Eukaryota; Fungi
Description: partial internal transcribed spacer region
Rfam family: Eukaryotic small subunit ribosomal RNA (bases 1-49)
Source: RNAcentral
UACAAGUCGUAACAAGGUAACCGUAGGUGAACCUGCGGUUGGAUCAUUAAUAAAUCCAAGAGAUUUGGCCUUUGGGUGCAUUUCUCUACUGGUCGCAAGACCUUUAACACUUUGUGAACUCGAGAUGCUUGUAAGGGUUUAGGCCUGAGCAAGUAUUCUUACACUUAUUACAUUUUGUCUUAUUAAAAGAUUUAAUCUUUACAACUUUUAACAAUGGAUCUCUUGGCUCUCG